AUUUUAUUAAGCAUUUCAUAGCUGAAGAGGUGCUUCGAGUGUACUUUUUAGUUUUCGGUGGUGCUCUUGUUGAUUGUCUUAAUGCUUUUAGACACACUACAAACACAUGCAGCAAUGCUUGCAAUUCCCUCAGCCCCUCUUAGCUCCAUGCAUGUGUAAGUACCGCCCAUUUCUUUCUCAAGUAUAUAAGCUGAUUGAUAUGUUGCUUUCACCUACAUCAUCGUUGCAUAUAUGUUUUCUAUAUGCAUUGAUUUAACCCGCAUAUAUGUUCUCUAUGUCGUGCGACGCACGCCGCCAGCGCAACCUCCCUCACCGCUGACCGUCGAACCUCGCUUGUCCGCCUAUCCUGUGGAGCACGAUGCCCGUCAGCGGCCCGCUCGUCCGCCUCCCUCGCACGACAAUAUUGGCGGCCGCCCGACAGUCUCUCAUCUAGCGCUCGGCGCCUAUCCCUGGCCCAUCCCCCACACAGACAGGGGUGACUCUCCAUCCUCCACAGGGUCAGAAACAAAGAAUCCACCACCUGUGGAACAGUUCAUGCACCCCGUCACCAUCGAUUCGAUGGUCUACAGAUCCACAAUGUUGAGUUUGCAAAACUUGCAGAUGUUUGAUAUAAGGUGCCCGACUGUACUACAUGGAAGAAAGCUCAAUGAAAUGAAAAGGGGGAAAAGGAAUAACCAAGGAGGGGAGGGGAUCACAAGCUUGAAGCCAACGGCAGGUUAUGGCAUCACCUUAAAUUUGUAACUCCAGUAACUAAGUGCAUUUCCUUUUUUAGGUCGAACUUGUGAUCCUUCUUAUUACUGAAACCAAGUAUCCACCUGAGAUUGAUUGUUCUCUUAUUGUGGUCUGACAAGACUUAAAUAUUGGUAUGCCCCGAAGAGUGUCUUAUCUCAUGAGUUUUUAUAUCUGCAGAGUGUGCACAUGAGUUUCUUCCCUUUCUUUACUUAUUAAUAAAAAUGAAGUACAAUGCAUGUUAUCAUUAAUAAAUUAAUAACACUAAGAAGGAAUUCAGAAUAAUGACAUACUAAUAACAACAAGUUGGAAUUCUGAACAAAAACACUGCAUGAGAAAUAUAGCAUGCACCUUAACAUAGAAAUAUCCUUUUCAAUUGCUCAUAUGUUUAAUACUGCAAAUGUUGUUUUUCUGUUCUCUUAAGAAUGGUUUUAGAUAGAGAGCUGCGCCCGUGUUGUAUGCCAACAUUAGUCCUUCGAUUUGUCAUUUUUGACUCAGCAUAUGGUCUCUAUAGUGGAACUAAACCACCCAAUUUUCUUUUCGAGAUAUCCGUGCCGCCGUCAUCAUUCAUCCGGACUCAGCAGGAGAAGGUCCACCCAUCUGCGGCGCCGUUGUUGUGGUCCCAAACUAAUUCUGAUAUCUGAAGGUCAUCGCUGCAUUCAGAUUUGAGAGAAGUUGGGCUUGAAUCAUCAAAUAUAAUUCUUGGCAUUGUGACGCAUUCCUUUCAAGAGGGCCAUCCAUCCGCUCCUCAAGCGUUCCAUAACUUGCAGGAUACUCAGGGUUGAGUUGACUAGCUUGCUCAUCAUGGAUGAUCUUUGCAUUACCUAUACACACCCUCAGAUAUUGAGGUUGUAGAAAUUAGUGAUGCAGAUAAUUGUCAUCAAUUAGGAAAAACAGGUCCCAGUCGUAUUACGCCCAAAGCUAUCGAGAAUGCCAAUUUUAGAAAUAUAUUAUGCACCUUUAUUGAAUUUUUUUACAGGCAGCUAUAUUCAUAGUUGUACCAAUCCGAGUAAUUCAUAUUGGAAAUAUUAAUAUUGCCAAGGAAACAUAAGAUGAUUCAUCUGUUGGACUUUGUGAUGGGAGGCCAUGAUUAAGAAUGAUAACUUCAGGUUUCACCUUAAGUCUGUGGAAAGAGUUAUU
This is a long non-coding RNA of Hordeum vulgare subsp. vulgare (domesticated barley), 1869 nucleotides long. RefSeq lists it as uncharacterized. The transcript is spliced from 3 exons. Lineage: Eukaryota; Viridiplantae; Streptophyta; Magnoliopsida; Poales; Poaceae. The record is from RefSeq and is a predicted model, not a curated record.